GACGAAGAACGUAGCGAAAUGCGAUAAGUAAUGUGAAUUGCAGAAUUCAGUGAAUCAUCGAAUCUUUGAACGCACAUUGCGCCCCCUGGUAUUCCGGGGGGCAUGCCUGUUCGAGCGUCAUUUCACCACUCAAGCCUCGCUUGGUAUUGGGCAACGCGGUCCGCCGCGUGCCUCAAAUCGACCGGCUGGGUCUUCUGUCCCCUAAGCGUUGUGGAAACUAUUCGCUAAAGGGUGUUCGGGAGGCUACGCCGUAAAACAACCCCAUUUCUAAGGUUGACCUCGGAUCAGGUAGGGAUACCCGCUGAACUUAAGCAUAUCAAUAAGCGGAGGA
RNAcentral lists this unclassified non-coding RNA (331 nucleotides) under soil metagenome. RNAcentral's name for it is "partial contains 5.8S ribosomal RNA, internal transcribed spacer 2, and large subunit ribosomal RNA". The stretch from base 1 to 120 matches the Rfam family "5.8S ribosomal RNA", at positions 35 to 154 of the family's 154-position model. The record is from RNAcentral.